UCUCCUGCACCUAACCUGACAUGGUUCCUGUUUAUACUUCAGUUUCACUGUCCUCUGUGUGUGGCUGUGACUGAGAAUGGACUUGGUUCCCCAGCCCACUCUCCGUCUCCUGUUUUUGUCCUUAGCUGGACAAAGAGAAUGAAACCAAAUGGCCUCCCCUCCUCCACCCCUCAGCCAUUCCCGCAGGACAUGUUCUGGGGUGAUUUCUCCAGUGACAAUUCCAGCAAGUGUCCAGAUGCUUGCAAGUCAUUGGGGUUAACUAGGUGGAGCAUCCCUCCUUGUAAACACCUCUAAACCAGCCUCGAGGCCUCAUGGUUGUGCUAGCUCUUGGUGCCCUGUGGGGUUGAGUCGAGGGACCUGGGCUGGGUGGGCUGGAGCUCUGGUACAGUUGGGCAAAGGAGGUGGGGAAGGAGCAUCAGGUCAGUGCCACCUUUCCCACCCAGCAAGUCGGGGACCCAGCACUGUGGUGAAUGUGAACUGUGCGUGUGCACUCGGGCCUUUCAGGGGGACUGGCUGCAAAGGUGGGUGCUGAAGGGGAUGUGGCUGGGUUUUGUGUCAUGAGCAGUCAGGCUUGGGAGAGGAGAAACUGGAAGCCUGGGACUGCCCAGGCUGCCUUGUGCAUGGCGUGUUUAGACAGCUUCCGGCUGCUUCUUAAAAGAUAACUUCAGGGUCUGGCUUGGGGUGGGGUGCGCCAUCUUGAGCUUCUGCUUUUGUCACAGCAGUGGAUUCCUUCCUGCUCAUGCUGCUCCUGAUGGACCCAGUUCUCAUACAGGCCAUGGUUGGAGACAAAGAGCAGAGGACACCUUGUCGUCCCCCCCUCCACUCUUGUUACUCAAAAGAGCAUUCUCACCAACAGCUCUGUCUUUGUCCCUUGUUUCCUCUCCACCCUGGGUGAUCUUGCUGAGCCUGUGUGUAGGACUGGUGUGUGUGUGUGUGUGUGUG
This is a long non-coding RNA of Perognathus longimembris pacificus (Pacific pocket mouse), 942 nucleotides long. RefSeq lists it as uncharacterized. Lineage: Eukaryota; Metazoa; Chordata; Mammalia; Rodentia; Heteromyidae. The record is from RefSeq and is a predicted model, not a curated record. The transcript is spliced from 3 exons.